AUCCAGCUGAUGGGUCCUGCAUAGGACGAAACGCGUGUCCUGGAA
Molecule: non-coding RNA, 45 nt
Filed under: Schistosoma margrebowiei
Lineage: Eukaryota; Metazoa; Platyhelminthes; Trematoda; Strigeidida; Schistosomatidae
Source: RNAcentral